AAUCUUCCACAAUGGGCGAAAGCCUGAUGGAGCAACGCCGCGUGAGUGAAGAAGGUUUNCGGAUCNUNAAACUCUGUUGUAAGGGNAGAACAAGUACAGUAGUAACUGGCUGUACCUUGACGGUACCUUAUUAGAAAGACACGGCUAACUACGUGCCAGCAGCCGAAGUAAUACGUAGUUGGCAAGCGUUGUCCGGAAUUAUUGGGGGUAAAACGCGAGAAGGCGGUACUUUAAGUCUGAUGUAAAAGCCCACGGCUCAACCGUGGAGGGUCAUUGGAAACUGGGGGACUUGAGUGCAGAAGAGGAAAGUGGAAUUCCAAGUGUAGCGGUGAAAUGCGUAGAGAUUUGGAGGAACACCAGUGGCGAAGGCGACUUUCUGGUCUGUAACUGACGCUGAGGCGCGAAAGCGUGGGGAGCAAACA
Molecule: ribosomal RNA, 422 nt
Filed under: uncultured bacterium
Lineage: Bacteria
Description: partial 16S ribosomal RNA
Rfam family: Bacterial small subunit ribosomal RNA
Source: RNAcentral